Long non-coding RNA from Haemorhous mexicanus (house finch), 2854 nucleotides. RefSeq lists it as uncharacterized. The transcript is spliced from 3 exons. Lineage: Eukaryota; Metazoa; Chordata; Aves; Passeriformes; Fringillidae. The record is from RefSeq and is a predicted model, not a curated record.
CAGGCAAAAGCUAAAAGGAGAAAGCAGACUGAUGACUGUCACCUGACUGCCAGUCUUCUAAAACAAUGCUCCCUCCAAGAAGACCUGCACUGCUGCCUAAAAGCUAAUGUGCCUAAAAUCACAGUGUCCAGGAAGAUUUUACCUUGGAAAGAUGGCAGCAACCAUCUGAAGAACAACAGCGUGUCUCUGCUGCACAGUUACCAGCAGUACUGCAUGCGUUCACCCCAGUGCACGCCAGCUCCGAAGGCAAAUGCUGCCUUUCCUGCUCCAAAUGGUCAAAGGUUUGAUUUAAAACUCAGAGAAGAUUCCAGAAGAAACAGCAAACUGCAACUUGCCACAAGUAAAACGCACUCUUGAAAGCACACUGCAUUCACCACAGCAAUGGUGAGAACAGAGAGUGUUCAUGGUGAAUCUCUGUGCUACAUGAAAGUGGUCUAUGUAAAGCUUAUAUCCAAGAGAUCUGAAUUCAGUUUUGAUGUGCUGUUGAUUUUGUUCACUUUUGCAACAUUUGAUAGAACUGCUGUUAUUUAUUUAAUCACUGCCGCAGACCCAAUACCAGCUGCAGAUAAAUCAACAAGAACAUUCUUGUUAUUCUGGCAUGCCUUCUGUAAGCUCUUAUAAAAGAGAUUUCCAUUCUUGCAUGCCUAGGAAUAAAAGUUCCAUCAAUCAGAAUCAUUCAUCAGUUUUGUAAUGCCCCUCUGCCUGACCUUCAUUGCCUCAUGCAACAAGCAACCUGCUGAGUCUUCUUCUGCAAGGAAGAAGCCUAUUCAUCUAAUCCAUCAAACAGAAAAGGAGUAGUCAUUUUGGUCAAAUUCAUGGAAAAAGCAUGCUGUGGUGGCUAACUGAACCCCAGGAUCCAAAUCAACUUCAAACUCUUACCUUCCAGUACACAACAGGGGCAAUAGUGCAGUAAUCAGACAAGCAGGCAGCUGACAGCUGCAUUUAAAUAGAUUGGGCCUGAUCAUCUUAAGGCCAAUGUUGUAAUGAAAGGACUACAAGAAAGAAUUAUUUUAGAAUUACAUCCCAUAGAUGCUGCUUAUGAUAUUUUUUCAAGAACAUUUACAGUAAUAUCCUCCUUUAGGAUAGGCAGCAAAAGUUAUAUGUUUCAUUUUUCAAAGUUAUAUUUUUCAAAAGUUAUAUUUUUCAUUUUUCACAGCAUCAGAAAACUUCACUUGGGUAUGACAUAAAAGAAUUAAAAUGGAUUGGGUGAUUUUGAGUAUGCCUUUGGUGAUUUAAUCAUAUUCAAAACUACUGCUGAGAGAAGGCCGAUUCUAUGUGGCCCUAGUACAGAGACUACUCUGACCUGAGCUUUAAUCAUGCAUAAACAGUAUCUAAAAGAGAUUCUCUGUUGGAACUAAUCCUUUCAUACCUUGACUCACAUUCUUCUUUAACCAACAGGAGAUAUUUAAUAGAUUAAACUAUUAAAUAUUAUUCUGGUCCAGACCUGGAUCAUAAAUCCUCAAGAGAACAUUUUCAAUUAAAACAGCCUGAAAUGACCUGGUUUUCAAUGCUCACCAUCUGAUACAUCAUUGUGGUUUAACUUAUUAUUCUAGUAAUGGAACUAUUAGGUGCCACAUCAGCAUCUUAAUGAUAGAUUAGGACAAACCCUGGAAUUAUACAGCUUUGCCUUUUUUCCAAGCCUCUUGACCUUAUUUUCCUAAAUCCAGCCUGACCAAGGAUCUCUUUAAAUUGUUAACAUUGCACAGAUUUUUGUGGCAUGGAAGUACUGAAAAAUAUAUCAUGAGAAAAGCAGAGGCAUUACAGAUGGGGAAGUAGUGGCAAGAACUGGAAAUAAGAACUAGAAAGGAACUGGAGUUUUUACAGUGAUAAAAAAGGUUCACCCUUUCUGUAUUCAUUCUGAAGAAGUUCUGUUUGCUUUGUAUUUGAGGAGGAAUAUUAAUUACCUCAUUUCUCAUCCCAAACUAAUUUACACCACGUCUUUCCCCAAAAACUUGCAAUUACAGCAAGGAGAAAUAGCGUGAGAGCAGACUUUAUUUUACUGCAUAUGACUCUAUACUAAUAUAUACACACCAGUUUGUCUUAAUUACUUCAAAUAUGAACUGACAUCUAUUCAGAGCUGACCAUCCAGCACCCAAUAUCACAGAAAACAAUCUCAUGUUUCAUUCUUUUAAAAACUUUCAUGAAUGUUGCUUUUCUUUGUUAAUUUUGCAUCAUUUUUUCCACUCUUCCAGAUCCUUCAGAGACAUUAAUAUUCUACAAUAUGGCUUGAACUCAGACAGACUCUCAGGCACUGCACCAAGAACCGUUAGCUUUAACAAAAUAUAAUCUCAUUCUGCUUUUUUUCUUACUGCUUAGCCAGUUCCUCAUCUCAUGCUCUGCCUCUCUCUCCCAGUUAGAUGAAAAAUAACACCCCGUGUGGAGCUUUGUCAAAGGCUUUUUGAAACAUGAUCUCUCCAUAAAAGUUGCUGCAAAGAUGUAGACUACACUAAACAGAGAAGGGAUCAGAAGGCCAACUGCCUGGGCAUGACUCAUUUUCUGCCACACAUGUAAGCUGUGCCUCGAGAAAGGCUCAGAGACAGAAAUCAAGACGUCUGUGAUAAAAUGGGGUCUGCAGUUUAAUGAUUGGCUCCUAGUAAGCUCCAAGCUUCACUGCUCUGAAAAGGAAUUGUUUGUGCAAAUCGUUAUGCUGGCUCCCAGCAGACCCUCCUUGUCUAAGUCAUUAAGACUCUCCCUCUUACCACUAUUAGUCACGCUGAGUACUAAUAUUAUUCAUUAUUACUCAUAGUUUAUUCUUUGAAUAAGCUCAUUAAUUUCAGUGAGAAAUUCGCAGUAGGAUGUAUUAGAUAAUCUAUGCAUUUAUGUAUGCAUGUAUGUCUAAUUAAAGGGUAUCAAA